This 270-nucleotide ribosomal RNA is filed under the name uncultured archaeon. RNAcentral's name for it is "partial 16S ribosomal RNA". It matches the Rfam family "Archaeal small subunit ribosomal RNA", at positions 477 to 747 of the family's 1478-position model. The record is from RNAcentral.
CAGCACCUCAAGUGGUCAGGAUGAUUAUUGGGCCUAAAGCAUCCGUAGCCUGCUUUGUUAGUUUUCGGUUAAAUCCAUACGCUUAACGUAUGGGCUGCCGGGAAUACUGCAAAGCUAGGGAGUGGGAGAGGUAGACGGUACUCGGUAGGAAGGGGUAAAAUCCUUUGAUCUAUUGAUGACCACCUGUGGCGAAGGCGGUCUACCAGAACACGUCCGACGGUGAGGGAUGAAAGCUGGAGGAGCAAACCGGAUUAGAUACCCGAGUAGUCC